UAUUCGAGUAGAGGCGCAUUCAUUAAGAGUAUAUUUCAGGAACUUGAAAAGAAGUGGCGACUGAAGUAAAAAGGGAUGAAUGCCGAAAUGGGCAGUUACUUUUCUGACUGUUCGUUGGGACUUAAUUUAACAGGUUAAGGACUGUCGCAGCAGGCGUGUUGCGGGGAGCUAUCAAGAUG
RNAcentral lists this non-coding RNA (179 nucleotides) under Lentilactobacillus farraginis. RNAcentral's name for it is "Lactobacillus farraginis Lysine sequence". It matches the Rfam family "Lysine riboswitch aptamer". Rfam says of the family: Riboswitches are metabolite binding domains within certain messenger RNAs that serve as precision sensors for their corresponding targets. Allosteric rearrangement of mRNA structure is mediated by ligand binding, and this results in modulation of gene expression. This family includes riboswitches that sense lysine in a number of genes involved in lysine metabolism, including lysC. The record is from RNAcentral. Lineage: Bacteria; Bacillati; Bacillota; Bacilli; Lactobacillales; Lactobacillaceae.